GGGGGUGUAGCUCAGUUGGGAGAGCGCCUGCUUUGCACGCAGGAGGUCAUCGGUUCGAAUCCGUUCACCUCCA
This is a transfer RNA of Desulfobacca acetoxidans DSM 11109, 73 nucleotides long. It matches the Rfam family "tRNA". Rfam says of the family: Transfer RNA (tRNA) molecules are approximately 80 nucleotides in length. Their secondary structure includes four short double-helical elements and three loops (D, anti-codon, and T loops). Lineage: Bacteria; Pseudomonadati; Thermodesulfobacteriota; Desulfobaccia; Desulfobaccales; Desulfobaccaceae. The record is from Rfam.